CCGGAGGGAAGAGAAAAUGCCGGCAUGCAUUACUGUUCGCGUUCGCAUCAGUCGCGCGUAACGCAGGAAACACGUUAUCGUCGUUCUGCUUCUCUCGCGGUUUUAUCCAUUGGAAAAAUGGACGCGCGCCACACAGCAAAGAACACCGAUUCGCGAAAGGGGUAAAUCGCGAUUGAGAUCAUCGAGGUAUCCUGCACCGAGAUCACCGAAAUAUCCUGUUCAAGUGAGUGCAUUCCAUGAUUCAUCAUUCAACCGGGCAGCUCCGCGGAAAUUUCGCCGUGUCCUCUCGACCGUGUUGGCGCAGUGUUUCGUUCCCGCUAAAGUAAGGGCUCUUCGAAAGAGCCGGAUUGCAUUUGCACGAUUCGAACGGCGACCCGUACUUUCACUCGGUCGUUUGUACCCCGUCGGCACGGCGAGCCCUCGCCGCCGUAAACGCGAAGAGGAGAACGUCAGGGACGCGGAGCGGCGCGACGCGAGAAGGGAGGAGAGACUCCGGGCAGAAGGAGAAACGCGAGAAGAGGAAGCACACACGCACGCACGUACGCAUAUAUAUACGAAGAAACGAACGAAACGAAGCGAGUGGGCGCUCGCGAGUCCGGGGAGAGGUUUAGUGACCUCGGCGUGUCGUCGUCGUCCUAAAGAGAAGUAGAAGGAGUAGGACGACGACGACGACGAACUACGACGACGACCACGACGACGACGACGAGCACGAGCACGAGUACGAGUACGAGCGCAAGCACGACGACGCCGAGGCGCAACGAGACGACGAGGAGUGGCCGAGAAGAAGAAGAGCAAAUUGGUGCUCCCGGUAGCAGGGGCCCAUGAACACCGUGGAGGAAACAUUGCGCAACGUGUCGAG
RNA transcript from Trachymyrmex cornetzi, 859 nucleotides. RefSeq lists it as uncharacterized. The transcript is spliced from 2 exons. NCBI's taxonomy places the organism in Eukaryota, Metazoa, Arthropoda, Insecta, Hymenoptera, Formicidae. The record is from RefSeq and is a predicted model, not a curated record.